GACGAACGCUGGCGGCGUGCUUAACACAUGCAAGUCGAGCGAUCCAAGUGUAAUAUGCGGGAACACAAUUUCCGCGUAUUAUGUUUGGAUAGCGGCGGACGGGUGAGUAACACGUGGGUAACCUGCCCUAUACAUCGGGAUAACACUGGGAAACCGGUGCUAAUACCGAAUGAAAUAUGCGAUAGGCAUCUAUUGCAUAUCGAAGGAUGAACUGAAAGGGGAACCGGUAUAGGAUGGGCCCGCGUCCGAUUAGCUAGUUGGUAGGGUAACGGCCUACCAAGGCGACGAUCGGUAGCCGGACUGAGAGGUUGGCCGGCCACAUUGGGACUGAGACACGGCCCAGACUCCUACGGGAGGCAGCAGUGGGGAAUAUUGCGCAAUGGGGGAAACCCUGACGCAGCGACGCCGCGUGAAGGAAGAAGGCCUUCGGGUUGUAAACGUUCUUUGACCGGGGACGGAACGAAAUAGACGGUACCCGGGGAACGAAGCCACGGCUAACUACGUGCCAGCAGCCGCGGUAACACGAGAGUA
This 531-nucleotide ribosomal RNA is filed under the name uncultured bacterium. Its description in RNAcentral is "bacterial SSU rRNA". It matches the Rfam family "Bacterial small subunit ribosomal RNA", at positions 28 to 533 of the family's 1533-position model. The record is from RNAcentral.